UGCCAUUUGGUUAUGUACGUUCACUGUUUACCCUGCAUAGAAAGGAACUUAAACUUCCAGCCAGCUCUGCUAGGAUCCAACGUUGCAACCUCGAGUGAUGCAAAAGAGCCCGCAUAGAUAGCCCUUGUGCAGUCUAAUAUGGUGUACGUCAGGUUGCACUUGUGGUGUUCAUUUAACUCGUAAUCCCGUCCACUUAUUAGUCCCUUCUAAUCUACUCCCUCCGUUCCUAAAUAUAAGUCUUUGUAGAGAUUGCACUGGAUGGACUACAUACGGAGCAAAAUGAAUGAAUCUAAACUUAAAAUGCAUCUAUAUAUAUCCGUAUGUGGUUUAUAGUGGAAUCUCUACAAAGACCUACAUUUAGGAACGGAGGGAGUACACAACAGUGUUUCAAUUUGAGGUAAGGCCUACAGAAAAAAGGGAAUCGUUUCUGGCCGGGGCACCGGCCGAACCGUUCCGCUGGUCUCGUCCACGCGCGCACGCUGCAGCAAGUUAAGUCACGACACGUGGAGUGGUGGGUCCCAAUCACACGGCCUUAUCCCCUUCCAGCUUUCUCUUCAACUGCUCGUCUUCUCUCUCUUCCCACCUUGCAGAUCCCGCCUCGCCGGCGUUCUUCCGAGCUGCCGUCCCCUCGUGGCACCAGCAGCUACCCUUCUUCCUUCUCCCUCUCCUCCCUUUCCUCCUCCUCUCUUCCCUUUUUGCUGCAACCGGCGACAGGCCAAACGCGGGGAGGAACCGAGGUGCCCGUGCUACAACCAUGGCCACGGGGAGGAGCUGCAACCGCGGUACUGGGAGAGUUGCAAACAGCGUUUUCCCGUGCUACAACCAUGGACACAAAAAGCUACAUCCAGUAGAUAAAAAAGCUUCAACCAGACAACGAAAUACAGGAAAUGUUACAACCGUUUUGACAAAAAGCUUCAACCCGCAGAUGAAAAAGCUUCAAAACAAAGAUUGAGAAAAUCCUCCUCGAUGACGACCAUGGCGUCUCUCUGUGUUUUUGUUGCAACCGCAGAGUAAAAAGCUGCAACCCUUUGUGAAAAAAGCUUCAAGCUCAGGUGAAAAAAGCUUCAAUUGGCAUGAUGGAAAGCUUCAAUCCGCGAGAAAAGCUUCAACAGGCAUAGAGAAAAGCUUCAACCGAUGAGAUAAAAAGCUUCAACCUGACUCGCCAAUGGCAGCGAGCGGCGACGUUGAGAGCUGCGUCGGUGACACGACAGUGCAGCGACGAUGGCGGCAGCUAGGUGUUGCAACGACAGGGAGUGCCAGUAUGCUUCAAGACGGCGCCAUUUUUUGCUAUGAGGGGGCGACGAGCUUUCUGCUAGACCAGGGGGUGAGUACUGAUGCUGCGACGGUGAUGGGGACAGCGACCGGCGGCGACGGGGACGGAGAGUGCAUCUAGCAGCGUGGGACUAGGGGGAAAGGAGGUCCAGGCGAGAGGGCAGUCGCCGGCGGCAGGAGCGGCUAGGAUAGGGGCGCGGUGAAGAAGAAGAAGAGGAAGAAGAAGUUAACGUGGGGGAAGGAGGCACGAGGAACAGAUCUGACAGCUCAAGCUCGCGGAUCAGACGGCUGGGGCUUGACCGGCCCAACGAUUGGGCCGGUGCGCCGGCGCAGAUCGUUGCCCCACAAAAAAAAACAUCAAUGGCGUUCCUUUUGGCCUCUUCUUCGGUGUCCUACUACCCUAACGCUACCAUGGCACGCACACUACAUUUCUACUACUCAUCCUGUUGGCAACCAAACGACAAGUAUGCAACGCAGCCAAAAGAGUAAAAUACAUUCAUGGUCACUGAACUUGUACCAUAAGCUCACUUUGGUUACUGUACUUAAGAAUACGGUCAAUACGGUCAUCAUAUAUGACUUGAGGUGAUUUUACGGUCACUGCCUCAACGUAUUGCUCCGUAUUUUACUCUAUUGACCGAUCAAACGCCAUGUAACCCUCUCUUUACCUUUACGUGGGUCCCACCUUUCAGUGGAAAAAAGAAAUAAAUCGCUAUGCCUGCUAGCCAGUUAACCACAGGAUCAAUGUGUGCACAAUUAAUUUGAGCCAUUAUUUUUGUUUAGUGUCGUAGCUGCCGUGUGUGUGCAUGCAUGCUAUCGUGCGCGGGUGCGACAGGGCUUCGUGCUCCCUCUGCAUGCUACCUACUAGUAGUAGGUAUAUAGGACGUUCGCCGCCUUCUCCCACGCGGACGCAUUCCCAGGGCGUGCCGCUCCACUCCAUGCCGCACGCCAUCGCCACCUGCACCCCAACGAGCCCGGCCACCAUAGCCGCAUACAUUGCGCAGCUGUCAGAGUUACACACGAUGUGGACUAGCAAGUACUCCCUCCGUUCCUAAAUACUUGUCUUUCUAGGCAUUUCAACAAAUGACUACAUACGGAGCAAAAUGAAUGAAUCUACACUCUAAAAUAUGUCUACAUACAUCCGUAUGUAGUAGUCAUUUGAAAUGUCUAGAAAAACAAAUAUUUAGGAACGGAGGGAGUACAAGCUAUCUUUGCGUAAAAAGAACUUCACCGCCAUUGUCACCGUCGUUCGUCGCCGUUCGUCAUGUGUCGUCGAAAAGUACCGGGCUACACGGACUGGGCCAACAGCAGCUCCACGCUGGAAGCAGGUACUAGUAUCCUCUUAGCUCCAUGCCCCCUAUCAUCAUAUUUUCUUCACUUCUUGAGCUCCACGCGCAGGCUAUGCACGCAGCCAACAGCGAGGAAUAGCGUGUUCUCUGUUGGUACGCCCCUAGAAGACCAGCUGCACCAGCGUCAGAUUCAUUCACGUAGCUCCCUCCCUGUAACCACUAAACCAUUUUUUUAGAGAAACUAACUGCUAGACCUAGUCUCACGUACAUGAUUGCAUGAGCUUAUCUAGAUGAGUUAGAUACGGAGGUUGUUAGCGUAGUUGCCGCACCUACCUGCUCAUCAUCCAUGUACAUUCUCUCGUGCGAUGAUGGUGAAUACAGUUGAGCACGGUGAAUGAAUACGGUUGAAAAUCCCCUCAAAAAAAAAAAGAAUACGGUUGAAAAUAGUUGCAGUUGCAAUCUUUCUCCUUCUAUCUCGUCUUACAUUCUCGACCAGCGUCUCGGCACAAGCAGCUGAGACCGGUGUGCUCGCUUGAACAUGGCCAUGUUCCCGUUCACCGGCAUGCACGCGCAGCCGCACAGGCCUUAGUUGUUAGCUCGACAACAUGGACACCAUGAUGAGCACGGCGAAGGUUCACACAUCUAGACCUUGCCCCGCAGCAUUCGCCUUGCCGGUAAACAUAUUGUAGAGCAUAGGAUUUAGGACACCCCCUUAUCUAGCCACUCAUCUUCGCCUUGCCACCGGCGACAUGUAAAUGAUACCCAUGAUGGCGACGGCGCCGAGGACGUGCACCACCAGAAGGAUGGCGACGCCGACAAAGAACUGCGACAAUACAACGUCGCGCCUCAACCUCGUGUUGUGCAAGUAACCCAACGGCUUGCGAAAGUGUUGCGUGCAUGCGAUUUAAGUGUGUUGUGCACGUGUUAAUUAAAUGGGCGACGCUAGACGCCGGUGCACCGGCCCAAAUUUGGGCCGGUCGCGCCCUAACCCUUCGAUCUGGCGUGGAUUGGUCGUCCGAUCUGGCAUCUCCACGCGCCUUGACUCGUCUUCAACCUCCACCCCACGCACCCCCGCCCCUCUGCCCCACACGCCCCCGCCUCCGUCUGCACAUCCGCGAGGGCAACGGCUGCCGGCCGCUCGCUCGUAGACCCAUGAUGCACUGCUGCCGCCACUCGUCGUCAACCCUCGCUGCACGGAUUGCGCAGCCAACAACCACCAGUAAAUGACAUUGAAUGGAUGUAGCAAAAUACAUCGCCGGUAGUAGCAAAAAACACAAACGGUUGCAGCAAAAAUUCGUAAUCGAUCUCCGUCCUCCCGCAAAAAGCUACUACCGGUGAAAUAAAAUGUCACAACUGCGAAUUGAAAAGUUGCUACUUCGAAACGGGGGAUUGAUGCCAUCGGUGAAGAAAAAAGUUGAAACUAGCGGCAUGAAAAGCUACGACCAGCAAAAGAAGCUGUUAGAACCGACGAAUCAGAAGUUGCUUACUGGAGGAUAAAAAUUGCUACAAUCAACCAAAAAAAAGCUGGAACCGACAAAUCAAAAAGCUGCAACCAGCUAAAUCAAAAAACAAAAGCCAUAGGAGGAAAGUAAUGUUGCAUCCGCAUGAUGUCCGAGCAGGGUGUGCUCGGCAACAGGUGGUCGCCGCGCUAGCCCAGCAGCAGCCCCCUCGCCGCUGACGGACUUGCGCUCGCCGCCCCGCCUGCAUCCACUCACAGGUUGGCUCCUCUAGUUUGCAUCAUCGGCGGGUGCCCAAAAAAUCAGAGGGGCGGCAGGAGGUGGGAGGCGGGGGGAUUGAUUCUCAUCGGCCUUCAGCUGCAAAUAAAACAACGAGCUAGAGAGAGAGAGCUCUCCGCCGUCCAGAGAUCGCGAGAUGUUUGCGCUGGAAGGAAGAAGAUAAGGUUUGGGUGGUCCCAGAUGCUUCUCGAGGGAAAGGGAUAAGUCUGGCGAUGGUUAUAUUAUAACCGCACGAUCGUGGGUAUCCCACGUACGCGACACGACCGGCGCUUUGUUCGGCCGGCGCACCGGCAGCCAGCGUUUUCCUAAUUAAAUAUGCGUUCAAGUGUGCUGUAUGCGUG
RNAcentral lists this ribosomal RNA (4635 nucleotides) under Triticum aestivum (bread wheat). RNAcentral describes it as "partial small subunit ribosomal RNA". Lineage: Eukaryota; Viridiplantae; Streptophyta; Magnoliopsida; Poales; Poaceae. The record is from RNAcentral.